AGAGCGAACGCUGGCGGCAUGCUUAACACAUGCAAGUCGCACGGCUGGGGUAACUCAGCAGUGGCGGACGGGUGAGUAACGCGUAGGUAUCUAUCUCCGGGUGGGGGACAACUGUGGGAAACUACAGCUAAUACCGCAUGAAACCCGAGGGUCAAAGCAGCGAUGCGCCUGGAGAGGAGCCUGCGUACGAUUAGCUUGUUGGUGGGGUAAUGGCCCACCAAGGCGACGAUCGUUAGC
RNAcentral lists this ribosomal RNA (237 nucleotides) under uncultured bacterium. RNAcentral describes it as "partial small subunit ribosomal RNA". It matches the Rfam family "Bacterial small subunit ribosomal RNA", at positions 26 to 287 of the family's 1533-position model. The record is from RNAcentral.